AGCGUACACGGUGGAUGCCCUGGCAGUCAGAGGCGAUGAAGGACGUGCUAAUCUGCGAUAAGCGUCGGUGAGGUGAUAUGAACCGUUAUAACCGGCGAUUUCCGAAUGGGGAAACCCAGUGUGUUUCGACACACUAUCAUUAACUGAAUCCAUAGGUUAAUGAGGCGAACCGGGGGAACUGAAACAUCUAAGUACCCCGAGGAAAAGAAAUCAACCGAGAUUCCCCCAGUAGCGGCGAGCGAACGGGGAGGAGCCCAGAGCCUGAAUCAGUGUGUGUGUUAGUGGAAGCGUCUGGAAAGGCGCGCGAUACAGGGUGACAGCCCCGUACACAAAAAUGCACAUAUUGUGAGCUCGAUGAGUAGGGCGGGACACGUGGUAUCCUGUCUGAAUAUGGGGGGACCAUCCUCCAAGGCUAAAUACUCCUGACUGACCGAUAGUGAACCAGUACCGUGAGGGAAAGGCGAAAAGAACCCCGGCGAGGGGAGUGAAAAAGAACCUGAAACCGUGUACGUACAAGCAGUGGGAGCCUCUUAAUGGGGUGACUGCGUACCUUUUGUAUAAUGGGUCAGCGACUUAUAUUCUGUAGCAAGGUUAACCGAAUAGGGGAGCCGAAGGGAAACCGAGUCUUAACUGGGCGUUAAGUUGCAGGGUAUAGACCCGAAACCCGGUGAUCUAGCCAUGGGCAGGUUGAAGGUUGGGUAACACUAACUGGAGGACCGAACCGACUAAUGUUGAAAAAUUAGCGGAUGACUUGUGGCUGGGGGUGAAAGGCCAAUCAAACCGGGAGAUAGCUGGUUCUCCCCGAAAGCUAUUUAGGUAGCGCCUCGUGAAUUCAUCUCCGGGGGUAGAGCACUGUUUCGGCAAGGGGGUCAUCCCGACUUACCAACCCGAUGCAAACUGCGAAUACCGGAGAAUGUUAUCACGGGAGACACACGGCGGGUGCUAACGUCCGUCGUGAAGAGGGAAACAACCCAGACCGCCAGCUAAGGUCCCAAAGUCAUGGUUAAGUGGGAAACGAUGUGGGAAGGCCCAGACAGCCAGGAUGUUGGCUUAGAAGCAGCCAUCAUUUAAAGAAAGCGUAAUAGCUCACUGGUCGAGUCGGCCUGCGCGGAAGAUGUAACGGGGCUAAACCAUGCACCGAAGCUGCGGCAGCGACACUAUGUGUUGUUGGGUAGGGGAGCGUUCUGUAAGCCUGUGAAGGUGGCCUGUGAGGGUUGCUGGAGGUAUCAGAAGUGCGAAUGCUGACAUAAGUAACGAUAAAGCGGGUGAAAAGCCCGCUCGCCGGAAGACCAAGGGUUCCUGUCCAACGUUAAUCGGGGCAGGGUGAGUCGACCCCUAAGGCGAGGCCGAAAGGCGUAGUCGAUGGGAAACAGGUUAAUAUUCCUGUACUUGGUGUUACUGCGAAGGGGGGACGGAGAAGGCUAUGUUGGCCGGGCGACGGUUGUCCCGGUUUAAGCGUGUAGGCUGGUUUUCCAGGCAAAUCCGGAAAAUCAAGGCUGAGGCGUGAUGACGAGGCACUACGGUGCUGAAGCGACAAAUGCCCUGCUUCCAGGAAAAGCCUCUAAGCAUCAGGUAACAUCAAAUCGUACCCCAAACCGACACAGGUGGUCAGGUAGAGAAUACCAAGGCGCUUGAGAGAACUCGGGUGAAGGAACUAGGCAAAAUGGUGCCGUAACUUCGGGAGAAGGCACGCUGAUAUGUAGGUGAAGCGACUUGCUCGUGGAGCUGAAAUCAGUCGAAGAUACCAGCUGGCUGCAACUGUUUAUUAAAAACACAGCACUGUGCAAACACGAAAGUGGACGUAUACGGUGUGACGCCUGCCCGGUGCCGGAAGGUUAAUUGAUGGGGUUAGCGGUAACGCGAAGCUCUUGAUCGAAGCCCCGGUAAACGGCGGCCGUAACUAUAACGGUCCUAAGGUAGCGAAAUUCCUUGUCGGGUAAGUUCCGACCUGCACGAAUGGCGUAAUGAUGGCCAGGCUGUCUCCACCCGAGACUCAGUGAAAUUGAACUCGCUGUGAAGAUGCAGUGUACCCGCGGCAAGACGGAAAGACCCCGUGAACCUUUACUAUAGCUUGACACUGAACAUUGAGCCUUGAUGUGUAGGAUAGGUGGGAGGCUUUGAAGUGUGGACGCCAGUCUGCAUGGAGCCGACCUUGAAAUACCACCCUUUAAUGUUUGAUGUUCUAACGUGGGCCCCUUACCGGGGUUGCGGACAGUGUCUGGUGGGUAGUUUGACUGGGGCGGUCUCCUCCUAAAGAGUAACGGAGGAGCACGAAGGUUGGCUAAUCCUGGUCGGACAUCAGGAGGUUAGUGCAAUGGCAUAAGCCAGCUUGACUGCGAGCGUGACGGCGCGAGCAGGUGCGAAAGCAGGUCAUAGUGAUCCGGUGGUUCUGAAUGGAAGGGCCAUCGCUCAACGGAUAAAAGGUACUCCGGGGAUAACAGGCUGAUACCGCCCAAGAGUUCAUAUCGACGGCGGUGUUUGGCACCUCGAUGUCGGCUCAUCACAUCCUGGGGCUGAAGUAGGUCCCAAGG
RNAcentral lists this ribosomal RNA (2531 nucleotides) under human gut metagenome. Its description in RNAcentral is "bacterial LSU rRNA". It matches the Rfam family "Bacterial large subunit ribosomal RNA", at positions 14 to 2570 of the family's 2925-position model. The record is from RNAcentral.